This 477-nucleotide ribosomal RNA is filed under the name uncultured Methanolinea sp. Its description in RNAcentral is "bacterial SSU rRNA". It matches the Rfam family "Archaeal small subunit ribosomal RNA", at positions 861 to 1338 of the family's 1478-position model. Lineage: Archaea; Methanobacteriati; Methanobacteriota; Methanomicrobia; Methanomicrobiales; Methanoregulaceae. The record is from RNAcentral.
GGAAUUGACGGGGAGCACCACAACAGGUGGAGCCUGCGGUUUAAUCGGACUCAACGCCGGGAAGCUCACCGGAUAAGACAGCGGAAUGAUAGCCGGGCUGAAGACUCUGCUUGACUAGCUGAGAGGAGGUGCAUGGCCGUCGUCAGUUCGUACUGUGAAGCAUCCUGUUAAGUCAGGCAACGAGCGAGACCCACGCCAACAGUUGCCAGCAUGUCCUCCGGGAUGGUGGGGACACUGUUGGGACCGCCUCUGCUAAAGAGGAGGAAGGAAUGGGCAACGGUAGGUCAGUAUGCCCCGAAUAUCCCGGGCUACACGCGAGCUACAAUGGUUGGUACAAUGGGUAUCUACCCCGAAAGGGGACGGGAAUCUCCUAAAACCAAUCUUAGUUCGGAUUGAGGGCUGCAACUCGCCCUCAUGAAGCUGGAAUCCGUAGUAAUCGCGUUUCAACAGAACGUGGUGAAUACGUCCCUGCUCCUU